RNAcentral lists this long non-coding RNA (626 nucleotides) under Panax ginseng (ginseng). RNAcentral's name for it is "long non-coding RNA (PGIN_LNC016026)". Lineage: Eukaryota; Viridiplantae; Streptophyta; Magnoliopsida; Apiales; Araliaceae. The record is from RNAcentral.
UUCUACCAUACUUAUUAAGCCAUCUACACUCUUGAAUUUAACCGAUGUGGGAUUUAUGUGAAAUCCCAACAAUCUCCACCUUUCACUUGAAUACCCAUCACAAGUAUAAUACUCUAGUAUCUUAUCAUUAAGCACACCUUCUUUGAAUCCUUCAAGAGCUCUCUGCUCGACUCUAAUACAACUCCCAACAGUUUUUCCUAGAGCCAUCCCGAGCCAUGCUCCACCCGAUUCAAAUACUUUUUGAGUCCUUCAAGAGCCUUGCUUGACUCUAAUAUUACUCUACCACGUCCUGGGUGUCUCACCACGUCCUGGGUGUCUCAGCAAUUUCCCUAGAGCCUUCCUAAGCCCGCUCCACCCGACUCAAAUCAUCCCGUGCUCCACCUGACACGAGGCCGUGCUCCACCUGAUUCAACUCUAUUUACUCCACCCACGAGGCCUGCGAAUUGUACCUCUCGCGCACCCCCUCGCACCUUGAAGUUGAUACUUGGACUCCCACCGAACCAUGGGCUUUGAUACCACUUGUAGCGAAAUUGAACGAUCCAUCCCACAUCUAUUCAUCACCUUAGUAGCGCACACCUGUGUAGACGAGCCCAAUAAGUAUGUUGGACCACCUUCUUACCUUAAAG